CUAAUUCAUACCUAAACACUACUUGAUCUUAUCUGAGCAGAGAAGCCGCGGCACACUUUUCAUCUUCCAUCUCACUCUAGCCGGUUACGCUGACGGCGGAGCUUCCCUUCCCGGUGGACUCUGCCCCGUACCCAGCCCGAUUGUGAGGUGGAGACCGUUUUGCCGUUGGAACUCUGCGAUGAAGACUGCCCGCGGUCAGAGCCUCUUUCGUAUUGAUUGCGUUGGGGCAGUGAUGGCCACGCGGGCUGAACAAUUAUCAAUUUCACUGUUUUAUUUUUAUGCAUUUGUUUUGUUUAUGAUAUUUUUUAGUUAGCUACUAUUGUGCUUUUUUGUUUUGAGUUGGGUUUGUACCAACUACCAAUGAUGUUUUUUAAACAAUCCAACUUGUCUGAGGUUGUUGUUAACCCAAGAUCCUGUUCGCAGGGUGAACCUACUUGGUGUUGCUACAUUUCCAAUGACAUAAAGAGAUUAAACUGAGGA
RNAcentral lists this long non-coding RNA (480 nucleotides) under Medicago truncatula (barrel medic). RNAcentral's name for it is "lncRNA gene11667". The stretch from base 357 to 480 matches the Rfam family "Small nucleolar RNA Z278". The record is from RNAcentral. Lineage: Eukaryota; Viridiplantae; Streptophyta; Magnoliopsida; Fabales; Fabaceae.